GAUGAACGCUGGCGGCGUGCCUAAUACAUGCAAGUCGAGCGAACAGACGAGGAGCUUGCUCCUCUGACGUUAGCGGCGGACGGGUGAGUAACACGUGGAUAACCUACCUAUAAGACUGGGAUAACUUCGGGAACCCGGAGCUAAUACCGGAUAAUAUAUUGAACCGCAUGGUUCAAUAGUGAAAGACGGUUUUGCUGUCACUUAUAGAUGGAUCCGCGCCGCAUUAGCUAGUUGGUAAGGUAACGGCUUACCAAGGCGACGAUGCGUAGCCGACCUGAGAGGGUGAUCGGCCACACUGGAACUGAGACACGGUCCAGACUCCUACGGGAGGCAGCAGUAGGGAAUCUUCCGCAGUGGGCGAAAGCCUGACGGAGCAACGCCGCGUGAGUGAUGAAGGUCUUCGGAUCGUAAAACUCUGUUAUUAGGGAAGAACAAAUGUGUAAGUAACUAUGCACGUCUUGACGGUACCUAAUCAGAAAGCCACGGCUAACUACGU
RNAcentral lists this ribosomal RNA (496 nucleotides) under uncultured bacterium. Its description in RNAcentral is "partial 16S ribosomal RNA". It matches the Rfam family "Bacterial small subunit ribosomal RNA", at positions 28 to 506 of the family's 1533-position model. The record is from RNAcentral.